CUAUUCAAUAGCUCUUUCCUGGUUCGCAAAAUACUACAAGCAUACUAACACAAAUGAGGUUGCCCUUUGCUAGGGCAUGCAGCUUACUCCUACCGUAUACUGGCACCUCAUAGAUUAGAUAGUGGAGAGCCAUGAUGGCUUAAAUCUCAUUGACAAUGAAAUCAUGUGCUUCUAUACUAGCUGAAGGACAUUGUGGGCCCUUUUGGAUGAUAUCUAAUAGUGAAAAAACAUACAAAGCACGGAAAA
This 246-nucleotide long non-coding RNA is filed under the name Elaeis guineensis (African oil palm). Its description in RNAcentral is "long non-coding RNA (EGUI_LNC077390)". The record is from RNAcentral. Lineage: Eukaryota; Viridiplantae; Streptophyta; Magnoliopsida; Arecales; Arecaceae.